AGUGAACGCUGGCGGUAGGCCUAACACAUGCAAGUCGAACGGCAGCACAGUAAGAGCUUGCUCUUACGGGUGGCGAGUGGCGGACGGGUGAGGAAUACAUCGGAAUCUACUUUUUCGUGGGGGAUAACGUAGGGAAACUUACGCUAAUACCGCAUACGACCUACGGGUGAAAGCAGGGGAUCUUCGGACCUUGCGCGAUUGAAUGAGCCGAUGUCGGAUUAGCUAGUUGGCGGGGUAAAGGCCCGCCAAGGCGACGAUCCGUAGCUGGUCUGAGAGGAUGAUCAGCCACACUGGAACUGAGACACGGUCCAGACUCCUACGGGAGGCAGCAGUGGGGAAUAUUGGACAAAGGGCGCAAGCCUGAUCCAGCCAUACCGCGUGGGUGAAGAAGGCCUUCGGGUUGUAAAGCCCUUUUGUUGGGAAAGAAAGGCAGCAGGUUAAUACCCCGCUGUUCUGACGGUACCCAAAGAAUAAGCACCGGCUAACUUCGUG
This 492-nucleotide ribosomal RNA is filed under the name uncultured bacterium. RNAcentral describes it as "partial 16S ribosomal RNA". It matches the Rfam family "Bacterial small subunit ribosomal RNA", at positions 29 to 507 of the family's 1533-position model. The record is from RNAcentral.